CUUACGGUCAACGAUGACAAAGUUGAUGCCGAAAUAUUUAGAUCUAUCAAUGAUAGUGAUCUCAUAUCCUGCUGAUGCGAACGAUGAAAGUAAGGCCAUAUGCACCCUUUACAAAGUCUUUGAAGAGAGCCCCUUCCGCCAUGGUAACCUACAAUGUGUAAAAGUUCACACGAUUCAGAGCUAGUUACAGUAUAAAAAACGAAGAGUAAGUAAGCUAAAAGAGGAUUUGAGCAGCCGUUUUGUACAUAUCAUGAGUGGAAAUGUGAAAACUGAAAAUUAAGACUGAAUAUAAUAGAUAGGUUCAGCAAUGUUAAGUUAUGAUUUUUUUGUCUGACAUGUAAAAAUAAAAACAGCAGCAACAGAAUUGCAAGAACAAUACGUAAGCGACAACAAAAAAAUGUAAUACAUUAGGAAUUACGGAAAGCAGGGAGGUUAAUAAUAAUGUGCAAGUAGUAGCAGCUUUAUCUAUAUAAUUUUGUUUUGUAAAAGCAACAACCCUUUUUUUUCUUUAUGCACAUAACAAUACAAAACAUAGAUAUCUAAAUGAAAACUACAUCACGGUAAAUCCUACUCUCUUAUGGAACUACAUCAGCAUUCAAGUAAGGUGUAGUCUGUCAGUAUGUGGCUGCAUCGUGUCUACUUCUCGCUUACACCCAAUGCCAAUGGCUCGAGUAUUCUCUUUGGCAAUCUGCAAUCGUAGGCUCGUAGCUGUCAACAUCGUUGUCACACGUUGUUUUCUGUUGCAUUAUUGGGGUGUUUGUCUUAUCAGUUACAUCCCAUGGGUCAAACAACAUACAUUUUUCCCCUGUGGUUUGCUUCAACGUCUCAAAUACAACAAUAUACACUGGGAGAGCUACAUGUUUGAAAAAUAGGCUAUGGCUCGCCGAUUGUGUAGUAAACAUAAUGGAGGUUGAUGGGUAAAUUGUGUCAUGAUGGUAAAAAAAGUUAGCUUUCUUUGACUAGCUUGCCCAGGUAUGCUGCUGUAGCUCCGCCACUUACAGUUAUCUUUUUGUGAGUUCAGUUUGCUUCCUAUGGCAAGAACCAAACAGUUGAAAGUGUGCUUCUGCUCCGGAGCUCAAAUGAGCUCGGGCGAACAGUAAAAUAAAAAAAAAGUAAUUUUUUUUAAAAUGAAUUUUUUGUGAUAAGCGUUGGAAAAAGUUUUAAGUGCUUGUAAAAAUACGUCAUGAAAUCACAUUUCGAUAAGGCGUGGUAAAAAACAAAUUCAGUGCUCCAACAUGUAGAGAUCACAUCAGCAACUAAUUAAUAAUAACCCUCCUCCCAGCCAUUGUGUCCUUCAUCUCUCAUUCUCUCAUAUGGCUACAUCACACAUACAUAACAUGCAGUACAGAGCUCGUACGGGAGCACGUCCAUAAACGGCGCCUCCACGAGCUCUCAUACAGGGAGACCAAGAGGGCGAGGCAUGCACAAGUAGCAGUAUGCGGCAGCGGCGAGCAGAAGGAGCACCGCGUGACGGCAAUGGCUAGUAGCACUAAGUGAAAAUCAGAAUCGAUGGAAAGAGCAGUGCAUCUAGGAAACUCACUUGGGAUGUUGGAUUUCUUGGCCUCAGCCGCCGCAGAGUGGGUAGCUACUGGAAGGAGAAGGGGAUAGAUAGACCGAGUGGGCGCUUGUAUUGGACGCUUCCCCUCACGAAUAUCUCAACGACGACGACGUGCUUUUGCAGGAUCAACAGACCCAUCUGCAAGGGGAAAAACAUAAAAAUACAAAAAACUUAACUAAGGUAUGUACAUUAGAUGAAAUCAAAAAGGCAAACAACUACAUCAGCAGGUAUACCAACAAAGGAAGCAUCAACAAUGCUCAAGUGGAAACCAGAUGAUUCCGUGGAAGAAGAAAGCAGAGAAAUUUAUCUUGUACAACCAGAUGAUUUAAGAGACAAAGAAGCACAUCGAGCGGCACGUACACCACAUCAUGAGAAGACGCAACGGAUGACCGCUCAGGCGAAGAACGUAUAGAAAUCACGCUCGGAAAACAUCCAUGUAGUGAUUCGAGGGAUUCAACCAGAGGAAAAGGGGUCUCGAAGGAGCCACAAAUUGGAGAAUCGAACCUGUUGACCCGACUACGGACGCCGCCGCGACGGACGCCGCGACCACGCACGCCGCGCCAAGGCAAAAGAACAGACGACCCCCCACGGACGCCCCACACGGCAUAAGAGCUACCGCUGCCGACCGCCGACGGACGCCUCGAGCAGAUUGGUCGGCCGCCGCGACCAUGGUGGCGACCGAACCGAGAGGAGAGAAGGGCGAUGCUUCGUAUACUCCGUAUUGGUGAAAAUAAAAGGCCAACGAAGCCCAAGUAUACGUGUCAAUAUGUGAAGGAACAGCCCACCGCUUAACUGAAACAAUAUUGAAGCAUGUGCUCCAGUCCAGCAGAGUAAAAGAAGAAAGAAUAGAAAGGAAAUCAGGAACGCGUGUCAACCUAUGGUAACUCCUCGCUCACAACGGAAGUGCACGACGGGAUCCC
Molecule: long non-coding RNA, 2478 nt
Filed under: Hordeum vulgare
Lineage: Eukaryota; Viridiplantae; Streptophyta; Magnoliopsida; Poales; Poaceae
Description: long non-coding RNA (HVUL_LNC004912)
Source: RNAcentral